Molecule: ribosomal RNA, 253 nt
Filed under: uncultured bacterium
Lineage: Bacteria
Description: partial 16S ribosomal RNA
Rfam family: Bacterial small subunit ribosomal RNA
Source: RNAcentral
UACAGAGGUCCCAAGCGUUGUUCGGAUUCACUGGGCGUAAAGGGUGCGUAGGUGGUUGGGCAAGUCUGAUGUGAAAUCUCCGGGCUUAACCCGGAAAUGGCAUUGGAAACUGCCUGGCUAGAGUGUUGGAGGGGGGACUGGAAUUCUCGGUGUAGCAGUGAAAUGCGUAGAUAUCGAGAGGAACACCAGUGGCGAAGGCGAGUCCCUGGACGAUACCUGACACUGAGGCACGAAAGCCAAGGGAGCAAACAGG